CGGAGGAAAAGAAACUAACAAGGAUUCCCUUAGUAACGGCGAGUGAACAGGGAAAAGCCCAUGCCGAAUCCCGCAGAGUGAAUCUGUUGGGAAAUGUAGCGUAUGGGUGCUUUUGCAGCAGUAUUCUGUUGUCUGUAAUUCCGUAUGAUUGCGGUCCCAUUGAGGGUGUAAGGCCCGUGAUGGUCAGUGGAAUACUGUCUUGAGAGCAUCCUUGAGUCGGGUAGUUUGAGAUUGCUGCCCUAAUUAGGUGGUAAACUCCAUCUAAGGCUAAAUAUAACACUAGUCCGAUAGCAAACAAGUACCGUGAGGGAAAGUUGAAAAGAACUUUGAAGAGAGAGUUCAAUAGUACGUGAAAUUGCUUAGAGGUAAACGAUUGGAGCCGAAAGUGGUGUGGUGGUUCAUGUCCAUUGCUGGCGAAUGCUUGUGCAGGUAAAGCCCUUUAGGCUUGCUUGUACUGGUUUUUCUGUCGGUUGUGGGCUAUCGUUCCCCAUGCCUUAACCACGAACAAUGCACUAAGUCACUGUCGUUUGGAGGAGGGUAGCGUUUGCGUUUAGUAACCGUGAUAGCCUCUGGACAUGGUCGAUUUGGUGUAUUGGGAUAAACGAUGCAAGCCGUUUAGGCGCACAUGCGGGCCUUAGUUUGUGCAUGAAUGCCAGACUCGUUUAGAGAUUGGUGUUUGUGUUGCAGUCUAACUGUGCUCGUCUCUGCGUAUUGUGUCAAUAUUCUGUGGUUCAUAUAGUAGGUAGUCCAAUCGACCCGUCUUGAAACACGGACCAAGGAGUUCAGCUUAUGCGCGAGUCAAUGAGUCGUACGAAACUCAAAGGCGAAGUGAAAGUAAAGGCUCCAUUUUCGGAGCUGAGGUGAGAUCUGCAGAAAAUGCGUUUAGUGUGGACUGCAGCGCAUCACCGGCUCGUCCUGUUAUUUUUAAUAGGGGCGAAGCAAGAGCGCAUAGGCUGAGACCCGAAAGAUGGUGAUCUAUGCUUGUGUAGGAUGAAGCCAGGGGAAACUCUGGUGGAAGUCCGUAGCGGUUCUGACGUGCAAAUCGAUCGUCAAACAUGAGUAUAGGGGCGAAAGACUAAUCGAACCAUCUAGUAGCUGGUACCCACUGAAGUUUCCCUCAGGAUAGCUGGCCCCGUGAAACUGUUUUAUCUGGUAAAGCAAAUGAUUAGAGGUACUGGGGAAGUAAUUUCCUCAACCUAUUCUCAAACUUUAAAUGGGUAAGAUGUCAAACUCGCUUAACUGUAGUUUGACAUUGAAAGUUGGGUCCAAGUGGGCCAUUUUUGGUAAGCAGAACUGGCGCUGUGGGAUGAACCAAACGUGGAGUUAAGGUGCCAAACGAGGCGGUUAUCAGACACCACAAAAGGUGUUGGUUGAUCUAGACAGCAGGACGGUGGCCAUGGAAGUUGGAAUCCGCUAAGGAGUGUGUAACAACUCACCUGCCGAAUCAACCAGCCCUGAAAAUGGAUGGCGCUGGACCGCUUGACCUAUACUCCACUGUUGUGAUAUUUGCCAAGGAUGUCACAACAAGUAAGUGGGUGACAUGGUAGCAUUGAAGCUAAGGAUGUGAAUCCUGGUGGAGCUGCCAUGUGUACAGAUCUUGGUGGUAGUAGCAAUUAUUCAAGUGGGAACCUUGAAGACUGAAGUGGAGAAGGGUUCC
RNAcentral lists this ribosomal RNA (1657 nucleotides) under Pogaina shenzhenensis. RNAcentral describes it as "partial large subunit ribosomal RNA". It matches the Rfam family "Eukaryotic large subunit ribosomal RNA", at positions 51 to 1510 of the family's 3401-position model. The record is from RNAcentral. Lineage: Eukaryota; Metazoa; Platyhelminthes; Rhabdocoela; Provorticidae.